RNAcentral lists this transfer RNA (73 nucleotides) under Felis catus (domestic cat). It matches the Rfam family "tRNA". Rfam says of the family: Transfer RNA (tRNA) molecules are approximately 80 nucleotides in length. The record is from Rfam by way of RNAcentral. Lineage: Eukaryota; Metazoa; Chordata; Mammalia; Carnivora; Felidae.
GCCCAGCUGGCUGAGUCAGAAAAGCAUGUGACUUUUUAUCUCAGGGUCAUUAGUUCGAGCCCCAUGUUGGGUA